UUGGAGGGCAAGUCUGGUGCCAGCAGCCGCGGUAAUUCCAGCUCCAAUAGCGUAUAUUAAAGUUGUUGCAGUUAAAAAGCUCGUAGUUGAACUUCGGGGUUUACCCAUUGGUCAGGCUUAAUUGUCUGUACUGGUGAGAUAAAUCUCUACCUUCUGAGGAACUUUCAUGCCAUUUAUUUGGUGUGAUUGGAAAUCAGGACUAUUACUUUGAAAAAAUUAGAGUGUUUAAAGCAGGCUAACGUCUGAAUAUAUUAGCAUGGAAUAAUGAAAUAGGACGGCUUGGUUCUAUUUCGUUGGUUUCUAGGAUCACCGUAAUGAUUAAUAGGGAUAGUUGGGGGCAUUAGUAUUCAAUUGUCAGAGGUGAAAUUCUUGGAUUUAUUGAAGACUAACUACUGCGAAAGCAUUUGCCAAGGAUGUUUUCAUUAAUCAAGAACGAAAGCUAGGGGAUCGAAGACGAUCAGAUACCGUCGUAGUCUUAACCAUAAACUAUGCCGACUAGGGAUCGGACGAAGUUAAUUUUAUAAUGACUCAUUCGGCGCCUUACGGGAAAC
RNAcentral lists this ribosomal RNA (551 nucleotides) under Diversispora sp. VeDiv1. RNAcentral's name for it is "SSU rRNA". It matches the Rfam family "Eukaryotic small subunit ribosomal RNA", at positions 548 to 1098 of the family's 1831-position model. The record is from RNAcentral. Lineage: Eukaryota; Fungi; Glomeromycota; Glomeromycetes; Diversisporales; Diversisporaceae.